RNAcentral lists this ribosomal RNA (477 nucleotides) under Acidobacteria bacterium REF-14. RNAcentral describes it as "bacterial SSU rRNA". It matches the Rfam family "Bacterial small subunit ribosomal RNA", at positions 32 to 489 of the family's 1533-position model. Lineage: Bacteria; Pseudomonadati; Acidobacteriota. The record is from RNAcentral.
AACGCUGGCGGCGUGCCUAACACAUGCAAGUCGAACGCGAAAGGGGCUUCGGCCCUGAGUAGAGUGGCGAACGGGUGAGUAACGCGUGGGUGAUCUACCUUCGAGUGGGGGAUAAGGUCCCGAAAGGGGCGUUAAUACCGCAUGAGGUUCUGGGUUUAAAAACCUGGAAACCAAAGCCGGGGACCGCAAGGCCUGGCGUUUAAAGAGGAGCCCGCGUCCGAUUAGCUAGUUGGCGGGGUAAGGGCCCACCAAGGCGACGAUCGGUAGCCGGCCUGAGAGGGCGGACGGCCACACUGGAAUUGAGACACGGUCCAGAUUCCUACGGGAGGCAGCAGUGGGGAAUUGUUCACAAUGGGCGCAAGCCUGAUGACGCAACGCCGCGUGGGGGAUGAAGGUUUUCGGAUUGUAAACCCCUGUCGAAUGGGACGAAUGGCCUUUGGGCUAAUCACCAGAGGAGUGACGGUACCGUUAAAGGAA